Molecule: unclassified non-coding RNA, 467 nt
Filed under: Hevea brasiliensis (rubber tree)
Lineage: Eukaryota; Viridiplantae; Streptophyta; Magnoliopsida; Malpighiales; Euphorbiaceae
Source: RNAcentral
AGGGGGGGGUCGUUAUGUUUGCAAAUGAUGAAAGGAAAUUCUGGUAACGAGGAUGUGGCUCUUAUUAGCAACUGUAGUGUGGUCUAUGCCACCCAAAAACCAUAUAGGAAGCACAAGCACAUAAAUAUGUUGAUUUAUAUAUGGGGCAUAUAUAUUCCAGCCAAGGGACUUUUGUCCAAUUCGUCAUUUCUAUGUAAAAAGCUUGGUUUGAUCAAACUCUGAAAUCGUUGAAAUCAGAUUGCGAGGAACUUUGAUUAGUCAACAUCAGAUUCGACAGGCAUGGCACCUUCUGACCCAUCUUCAUAUGGUGGCAACGUACUCCACUUGCCAGCAGGAUUUAGAGGCUCAAAUACAAUCACCCCACCAUUUGAUAGCCCCACUGCAAAUUGGUUUGGUUUCUGUGGAUGUGCAGCAAUAACUAGCGGAUAACCAUCAUCACAUGAACUAAAUGGAAGGUAAGCAGUGGA